RNAcentral lists this ribosomal RNA (541 nucleotides) under uncultured bacterium. RNAcentral's name for it is "bacterial SSU rRNA". It matches the Rfam family "Bacterial small subunit ribosomal RNA", at positions 778 to 1319 of the family's 1533-position model. The record is from RNAcentral.
AUAGAUACCCCGGUAGUCCACGCCGUAAACGAUGUCGACUUGGAGGUUGUUCCCUUGAGGAGUGGCUUCCGGAGCUAACGCGUUAAGUCGACCGCCUGGGGAGUACGGCCGCAAGGUUAAAACUCAAAUGAAUUGACGGGGGCCCGCACAAGCGGUGGAGCAUGUGGUUUAAUUCGAUGCAACGCGAAGAACCUUACCUACUCUUGACAUCCAGAGAACUUUCCAGAGAUGGAUUGGUGCCUUCGGGAACUCUGAGACAGGUGCUGCAUGGCUGUCGUCAGCUCGUGUUGUGAAAUGUUGGGUUAAGUCCCGCAACGAGCGCAACCCUUAUCCUUUGUUGCCAGCGGUUCGGCCGGGAACUCAAAGGAGACUGCCAGUGAUAAACUGGAGGAAGGUGGGGAUGACGUCAAGUCAUCAUGGCCCUUACGAGUAGGGCUACACACGUGCUACAAUGGCGUAUACAAAGAGAAGCGACCUCGCGAGAGCAAGCGGACCUCAUAAAGUACGUCGUAGUCCGGAUUGGAGUCUGCAACUCGACUCC